AGCGUACACGGUGGAUGCCUGGGCAGUCAGAGGCGAUGAAGGACGUACUAACUUGCGAUAAGCGCAGAUAAGGCAGUAAGAGCCGUUUGAGUCUGCGAUUUCCGAAUGGGGAAACCCAACUGCAUAAGCAGUUACUGUUAACUGAAUACAUAGGUUAACAGAGCAAACCGGGGGAACUGAAACAUCUAAGUACCCCGAGGAGAAGAAAUCAACCGAGAUUCCGGUAGUAGCGGCGAGCGAACCUGGAUUAGCCCUUAAGCACUCGGUGAAGUAGGUGAACAAGCUGGAAAGCUUGGCGAUACAGGGUGAUAGCCCCGUAACCGACGCUUCAUCGAGCGUGAAAUCGAGUAGGGCGGGACACGUGAUAUCCUGUCUGAAUAUGGGGGGACCAUCCUCCAAGGCUAAAUACUCCUGACUGACCGAUAGUGAACCAGUACCGUGAGGGAAAGGCGAAAAGAACCCCUGUGAGGGGAGUGAAAUAGAACCUGAAACCGUGUACGUACAAGCAGUAGGAGCACCUUCGUGGUGUGACUGCGUACCUUUUGUAUAAUGGGUCAGCGACUUAUAUUCAGUGGCAAGGUUAACCGUAUAGGGGAGCCGUAGCGAAAGCGAGUCUUAACUGGGCGCUCAGUCUCUGGAUAUAGACCCGAAACCGGGUGAUCUAGCCAUGGGCAGGUUGAAGGUUGAGUAACAUCAACUGGAGGACCGAACCGACUAAUGUUGAAAAAUUAGCGGAUGACUUGUGGCUAGGGGUGAAAGGCCAAUCAAACUCGGAGAUAGCUGGUUCUCCCCGAAAGCUAUUUAGGUAGCGCCUCGGACGAAUACUACUGGGGGUAGAGCACUGUUAAGGCUAGGGGGUCAUCCCGACUUACCAACCCUUUGCAAACUCCGAAUACCAGUAAGUACUAUCCGGGAGACACACGGCGGGUGCUAACGUCCGUCGUGGAGAGGGAAACAACCCAGACCGCCAGCUAAGGUCCCAAAGUAUUGCUAAGUGGGAAACGAUGUGGGAAGGCUCAGACAGCUAGGAUGUUGGCUUAGAAGCAGCCAUCAUUUAAAGAAAGCGUAAUAGCUCACUAGUCGAGUCGGCCUGCGCGGAAGAUGUAACGGGGCUAAGCAAUACACCGAAGCUGCGGCAAUGUCUUUUAGACAUUGGGUAGGGGAGCGUUCUGUAAGCCGUUGAAGGUGAAUCGUAAGGUUUGCUGGAGGUAUCAGAAGUGCGAAUGCUGACAUGAGUAACGACAAAGGGGGUGAAAAACCUCCUCGCCGGAAGACCAAGGGUUCCUGUCCAACGUUAAUCGGGGCAGGGUGAGUCGACCCCUAAGGUGAGGCCGAAAGGCGUAAUCGAUGGGAAACGGGUUAAUAUUCCCGUACUUCUGACUAUUGCGAUGGGGGGACGGAGAAGGCUAGGUGGGCCAGGCGACGGUUGUCCUGGUUCAAGUGCGUAGGCUUGAGAGUUAGGUAAAUCCGGCUCUCUCUAAGGCUGAGACACGACGUCGAGCUACUACGGUAGUGAAGUCAUUGAUGCCAUGCUUCCAGGAAAAGCCUCUAAGCUUCAGAUAGUCAGGAAUCGUACCCCAAACCGACACAGGUGGUCGGGUAGAGAAUACCAAGGCGCUUGAGAGAACUCGGGUGAAGGAACUAGGCAAAAUGGUACCGUAACUUCGGGAGAAGGUACGCUCUUGAUGGUGAAGUCCCUCGCGGAUGGAGCUGACGAGAGUCGCAGAUACCAGGUGGCUGCAACUGUUUAUUAAAAACACAGCACUGUGCAAAAUCGCAAGAUGACGUAUACGGUGUGACGCCUGCCCGGUGCCGGAAGGUUAAUUGAUGGGGUUAGCGCAAGCGAAGCUCUUGAUCGAAGCCCCGGUAAACGGCGGCCGUAACUAUAACGGUCCUAAGGUAGCGAAAUUCCUUGUCGGGUAAGUUCCGACCUGCACGAAUGGCGUAAUGAUGGCCACGCUGUCUCCACCCGAGACUCAGUGAAAUUGAAAUCGCUGUGAAGAUGCAGUGUACCCGCGGCUAGACGGAAAGACCCCGUGAACCUUUACUACAGCUUGGCACUGAACAUUGAACCUACAUGUGUAGGAUAGGUGGGAGGCUAUGAAGACGUGACGCCAGUUGCGUUGGAGCCGUCCUUGAAAUACCACCCUUGUAUGUUUGAUGUUCUAACUUAGACCCAUUAUCUGGGUUGAGGACAGUGCCUGGUGGGUAGUUUGACUGGGGCGGUCUCCUCCCAAAGAGUAACGGAGGAGCACGAAGGUGGGCUAAUCACGGUUGGACAUCGUGAGGUUAGUGCAAUGGCAUAAGCCCGCUUAACUGCGAGAAUGACGGUUCGAGCAGGUGCGAAAGCAGGUCAUAGUGAUCCGGUGGUUCUGUAUGGAAGGGCCAUCGCUCAACGGAUAAAAGGUACUCCGGGGAUAACAGGCUGAUACCGCCCAAGAGUUCAUAUCGACGGCGGUGUUUGGCACCUCGAUGUCGGCUCAUCACAUCCUGGGGCUGAAGUCGGUCCCAAGGGUAUGGCUGUUCGCCAUUUAAAGUGGUACGCGAGCUGGGUUUAGAACGUCGUGAGACAGUUCGGUCCCUAUCUGCCGUGGGCGUUGGAAGAUUGAAGGGGGCUGCUCCUAGUACGAGAGGACCGGAGUGGACGAACCUCUGGUGUUCGGGUUGUGUCGCCAGACGCAUUGC
RNAcentral lists this ribosomal RNA (2685 nucleotides) under Vibrio cholerae. RNAcentral's name for it is "bacterial LSU rRNA". It matches the Rfam family "Bacterial large subunit ribosomal RNA". Lineage: Bacteria; Pseudomonadati; Pseudomonadota; Gammaproteobacteria; Vibrionales; Vibrionaceae. The record is from RNAcentral.